GGUUAAGCGACUAAGCGUACACGGUGGAUGCCCUGGCAGUCAGAGGCGAUGAAGGGCGUGCUAAUCUGCGAUAAGCGCCGGUAAGGUGAUAUGAACCGUUAUAACCGGCGAUACCCGAAUGGGGAAACCCAGUGUGACUCGUCACACUAUCAUUAACUGAAUCCAUAGGUUAAUGAGGCGAACCGGGGGAACUGAAACAUCUAAGUACCCCGAGGAAAAGAAAUCAACCGAGAUUCCCCCAGUAGCGGCGAGCGAACGGGGAGGAGCCCAGAGCCUGAAUCAGCAUGUGUGUUAGUGGAAGCGUCUGGAAAGGCGCGCGAUACAGGGUGACAGCCCCGUACACAAAAGCGCAUGUGCUGUGAGCUCGAUGAGUAGGGCGGGACACGUGGUAUCCUGUCUGAAUAUGGGGGGACCAUCCUCCAAGGCUAAAUACUCCUGACUGACCGAUAGUGAACCAGUACCGUGAGGGAAAGGCGAAAAGAACCCCGGCGAGGGGAGUGAAAAAGAACCUGAAACCGUGUACGUACAAGCAGUGGGAGCCCCACCACCAAAGCAUUCUCUGGUGUUGAAGGCCCUGCAAAGCAGCAUCGCGGUGGCGGAGCGUCGUUUGCGACGCCCAACACACAAAACAAGCGGUGAGUGCUUUGGGGUGGGGUGACUGCGUACCUUUUGUAUAAUGGGUCAGCGACUUAUAUUCUGUAGCAAGGUUAACCGUAUAGGGGAGCCGUAGGGAAACCGAGUCUUAACCGGGCGUUAAGUUGCAGGGUAUAGACCCGAAACCCGGUGAUCUAGCCAUGGGCAGGUUGAAGGUUGGGUAACACUAACUGGAGGACCGAACCGACUAAUGUUGAAAAAUUAGCGGAUGACCUGUGGCUGGGGGUGAAAGGCCAAUCAAACCGGGAGAUAGCUGGUUCUCCCCGAAAGCUAUUUAGGUAGCGCCUCGUGAACUCAUCUCCGGGGGUAGAGCACUGUUUCGG
This 977-nucleotide ribosomal RNA is filed under the name Salmonella enterica. Its description in RNAcentral is "partial 23S ribosomal RNA". It matches the Rfam family "Bacterial large subunit ribosomal RNA", at positions 1 to 918 of the family's 2925-position model. Lineage: Bacteria; Pseudomonadati; Pseudomonadota; Gammaproteobacteria; Enterobacterales; Enterobacteriaceae. The record is from RNAcentral.